UUUUUGAUACUCAGUACAAAGUACAAAGUAGCCAAAAAAAAACCUUAAGUACAGUAACAAAGUACAUUUACUUAAGUACUUUACACCUCUGCGUGUGAUUCACAGAACAAACGCACGCACAGAAAACGCGCUUAACGUUACCCCUUUCUUUCAGAUGUGAAAUCUAUAAAUCGCAAAUUAUCUUGAACUAGUAUGCAUCUGAACAGUAAGAUUUCCACCUUUAAACGAUGCCUAAUUAAUGCCAUUGACAUAUAAAAGAGCGCAUGUCAAUGUUUAAACCCUUUAUGAGCAGCAAGAAUGGCUUAUAUUUUCAAAAACCUGCAGCAAUCGGACAAGCAAAAGUGCCUCAAAGUACCUCAAAACUAACCUCAAAACAAACGUCAGUGUCAGUAGCGGUAGCGUGAAAAGUUUAAUCCGCGGGAAAGCUGAUGCAGCCAAGGCCUUUUAAUAGAAGCUGCUGGCAACGCAAAGACCCGCCCUUCACGUAACCCCAUUUGUUCAGCUCCCAUCCAUUGACCAAUCGGCUAUCCUAACCUUAACCACACUGUGAUGACCUCACGUGAUGACCAAAGAGCUUUUAUUGUUUUUGUGAAACAGACCGCAGUAGGUUUUUGAAACUCCCGUUUAUGGGAAGUUUAGACCCCCCCCCCCCAAAAAAAACAAAAACUCUUCGGAUCUACAUGAUUCACGUGGAUGACCUUUUUCAAUUCAAAACGGCGAUUUUCGCCGAAAAGCGACUAGUUUGCAGGUAUGUAUGUAACCAAGAAGUGACAUGCUGUUAUACAAUUAUAUAAAGGUGAAUCUGUUUUAAUUCUAGUUGUCCAGCUACAGAUUAAGAUGCUUAGUAUGAUUAAUCAUCCUCUGUUGUCAUGGAUGAACCUGGUGAUGUUUUAUGGAGGAGGAAAAAACAAAAAAGACUCAUCUGAUGAGAAACCACUGCAAGAAUCUCAUCCUGUUCACACAAGUCUGUGCAGCAUGCAUGUAUCAGCAUUUUUUGUGACCAGUGACUUCUCUUCUGAGGGGCGUGAAUUCCAAAUAUGUGUUUGUUGUGAUGUGUGUGAACCAUGUGCAUCAUGCCUCUUGUCACAAUACGUGCCUGCUGCACACGCGUUGAAAAGGUUUAUGAUAAAAGAAGCACUCAUGUUCACAAAAUACUCGCAAGACACUAACUUGACACUAAACUGUGAUUACACAGGAGAUUAAGUCAGUAUCAGGCAAACGUGAGCGUAUCUUUUAUCAUAAACCCUUUACAUGCGUGUGCAGCAGAUUUUGACAUCACGUGUGAUGCACAUAAGUUUACAUGACGCGCUGAACACAUAUUUUGAAAUGACAAGCAACACACAUGACGAGCUCAAUGCAUGUGACCAGCUUCGCAACGUGUGCCCUCGAAAAAAGUCACCGGCCGACACUGACCCAGAUCAUCAAGAUGUUAAAGCUGUUUGGGCUUCAGAGCAUCUUGUCAGCACCUUCUUCCACCAUGUACACAAUUUCUACCAUCGUGAAGGCGUGGCAGAAUGAGAGAUUUGCAGUCACCACAGGCUCUACGAGAAUGCAGCACUGUCCUGUCUUCCACUACACCUGCUCCCCUCUCCAGAGCCAUCCAGAGGAUCAACAAGGAUGAAGCUGUUGGGAUCUAUUAAUCACAGCAUUCACAAUUUAACACAUUAUUAUAAUACCCGCACAUAUGAUGGAAAGAUACUGAUUUUUUUAAAAUGUUUUUAAAUGGGUCAGAUUGUAUAUCUUUCUUUCGGUGCUACAUAAAUAAAACUAAAUCGAAUUACAAAUGCAGAUCUACUUUGUAUAUAUCUGAUCUAAACUUCAUAAACCAGUUUUUAUACGGUAAGACAAUUUGUGAUUAUUGUUUAUUGAUUGUCACAAAAUGGGGGUAUUCAAACCAUUUAUAAAGUCCUCCUUCCUCUGGAACCUGUCCUCGAAUGGCUGACACAUGCAGGUAAGGGCGCCUGCACAGAGUUCCUUAGACACCCAGCGGAUAACUUGCCUAUGCUGUAUUUAGUGGUAUUGUCUGGAGAUGGGAAAACUAUUAAUAUUGUUAAUUUGAAUAUUGACUAGUGCCAGCAAAAAUUGUGACUUAGUCAUGACCUAUA
Molecule: long non-coding RNA, 2105 nt
Organism: Paramisgurnus dabryanus
Lineage: Eukaryota; Metazoa; Chordata; Actinopteri; Cypriniformes; Cobitidae
Source: RefSeq, a predicted model, not a curated record